This 253-nucleotide ribosomal RNA is filed under the name uncultured bacterium. RNAcentral describes it as "partial 16S ribosomal RNA". It matches the Rfam family "Bacterial small subunit ribosomal RNA", at positions 524 to 776 of the family's 1533-position model. The record is from RNAcentral.
UACGAAGGUGGCAAGCGUUGUUCGGAUUUACUGGGCGUAAAGGGAGCGUAGGUGGUUAGGUAAGCCCUCCGGGAAAUCUUCAGGCUUAACCUGAAAAGGUCGGGGGGGACUGCCUAGCUAGAGGGCGGGAGAGGAGCGCGGAAUUCCCGGUGUAGCGGUGAAAUGCGUAGAUAUCCGGAGGAAUACCAAAGGCGAAGGCAGUGUCCUGGCUGGCAUCUGACGCUGAGGCGCGAAAGCUAGGGGAGCGAACAGG